RNAcentral lists this long non-coding RNA (4341 nucleotides) under Equus caballus (horse). RNAcentral's name for it is "lncRNA (ENSECAG00000059725.1)". The record is from RNAcentral. Lineage: Eukaryota; Metazoa; Chordata; Mammalia; Perissodactyla; Equidae.
AAACAACCAGGACGCCGAGAGGAAGCCCAUGUAGCCACACGCAGGAGGACCAAGGCCCCAGGCCGCCAGCCCCGCCAGCUCCCAGCUGUCAGCCAGCACCAACUUGCCAGCAUUGGGAGCAAGGCCUCAGCUGAUGUCACGAAGGGUGGAGAGGAGCUGUCCCCCAGGCCCGGGCCCAAACUGUGAAAUCCUGAGUCAAUAAAUGAUGAUUUCCGUUUUAAACCGCUAACAUUGGGGCUGGUUGGUUACACAACGACAGAGGACCGCAGCAGCCCCCACCCCUUGCUCCGUGCACGCUCCAGUUCUGCAGAUGCCCCUCACACCCUGUCACAGACCGAAUGUUUGUGUCCCCCCAGCUUCCUAUGUUGACGCCCUGGGCCCCAGGUGGCAGUGUCUGGAGACGGGGCCUGUGAGGAGGUGCCGAAGGCUAACUGAGGCCAUGAGGGUGGGGCCCUAACUCGGUAGGACCAGUGCUCUGACAAGAGGAAGGGACACGAGAGCUCUCUCUCCACCACGUGAGGACGUGGGGAGAAGGCACCCGCCAGGAGGAGGGGUCCCCCAGAACCCCGCCCUGCCAGACGCUGCUCUGGGGCUUGCAGCCUCCAGCACUGUGGGAAAAUGAACUUCUGUGGUUCACGUGGCCCCGUCUCUGGCCCUCUGUUGUGUCGGCCGAGCUGAGGGAGGCCCCCAGCCUCAAAGCCCCUGCCCACGCCUCCUCCCGCCAGGUUGUUCCGCGUAGCUAACGCCGGCCAUCGUCCCUCUCAGCAGACGCGUCUCCAUGCAGGGGCACCGCUGACCGGCCUGCACACCCUCGGCCAGGCCUCCCCGUCCAUCCCUGUCUGAGCAGCCGGCCCCUCCCCACCCCACAGGCCGGUCUGCCGCUGAUCCUCCUGGAGGACGCUGCCCCUCCCUGAGCUCAGCACGGGACCUGCACACACGCGCUCCCUUUCAGAGGAGACAGCGGCCUGCCCAGGAAGGGCAGAGCACCUUUGGACCCAGAAGUUCUGCUCCCAGGUAUAGACGCCAGUGAAGCGUGGGACUCGGCCCUGAGCUGGAAUGGGCCCGCGUGUCUCUAUGGGACAGUGCGUGCAUGUGGCCCACCCACACAAGGGACGCUAAACAGUCGUGGGAACACACGCACCCUGGGCACCCCGAGCAGCCGGGUGAGUCGCCCAGGGAGCCAGUCCCCAAACAGGGCGCGCAUCACGGUCCACGUGAAUGAGGAAAAACGGGCAAAACGCCACGCCUCAGCUGAGGGUGCCCCCCGGGGAGCCAGACUGUGAGGCCGAGCAGGGACACGGCUGUCACAGAAGUCAAGCACCAGUCGCCCCAGGGAGAGGGGCUGUUGUCAGGAGGAACACGAGUGCUUCUGGGCGGCUGGAAAGGUCCUGUUUCCUGACGUGGGAGGUGAAUACAGACGUCUAUACCAGCCGAAUCUUUAAACUGUAUGCACACGCGUAGGCAUACGCAUGCGUAGAUGUUGUGUGUGUCUUCUGUGUGUAUGUCACAAUUUGAAAACGGAAAAAUGAGCAAUGGUCCACCACAGUGAUGGAUUAUCAUUUUACGAAGGGGGAGAGAGCCCCCGCUUUGCUCCUUGCACGUCUAGGCCGGUUGUCGCAGGGGAACCGCCGGCCACCCCCGGCAGCACCCAAGCCCCCGCACUCUCUCCGGCAGCAAACGAGACCCAAAGCAGGGAGUUCCCAGCGAUGUGUGUCCCAGCGGCCUGAAUGGAAGCCCCUUGUUCUAGAAGGACACUGGACUCCCGUCCAGCAAUUCCAGGUGGGGGUCGGUGCCCAGCACACCACCCCCUGUGCUGGCAGAUGACAGAAGACCGGAAUGGCGGGCAGAAACUCGUGCUGUCUCCAUAGCCCAGGGGCCAGGGACAAGGUGCAGACAGCUCUCUGUCACCUGGACGGCUCUCCAAGGCCACUCUCAGGGAGCCUGAAGGAAAGCAAGCCCCGGACAGGGAGGAAGGGCGAGCCGGGAACAGCGGGAGAGGGUGCUUGUCGUCGUUUUGUUUUCCAUUCCAUCCCAGCCGCGGGGGGAGGAAAGCAGGCGGGGCGUGUGUGCGUGUGCGUGUUCGUGUGUGUGUGCACGUGUGUGCGUGUGUGUGUGUGCACCUCGAUCUCCAUCUUCAUCUCUCCCCGGGGAAGCCAGCUCCCGGCCUGUGAGCGGCCCUGUGGAGAGGCCCACGUGGGGAGGACCCGACGCCUCCUGCCCCCAGCCACAUACGGGAGCUGAGAGGGAGACUCCCCGCCUGGGAUAACGCGGCCCCUGCCGACAUCCUGACCGACCCCUCGACAGCCGUGAGUCAGAGCCGCCCAGCCCUGCUGCCCCUGGGCUCCUGGCCCACACAGCCCAGAUGAUAAACAUGGGCUGCUGUCGUUCAUCCCCCAGCAGGAGACAGACCCCUCCUCGGAGCCUGUCUACCGUCCCCUGCAUGGCAGCCCUCAUUCAGGGCCCCUGGAGCCGUCUUGCUUAUGGCUGCUUACCGUCUCUGCCUUCCUCGUUAGAGGGAACCCCCCGCAAGGACAGGGGAUCUGUAGGUUCACAGUAGGGUCCCCAGUGCCACGACAGCACAGAGGUUGCUUGACAAAUGGCCAAGGUGCAGCAAUGCAGCAAACCAGGAGCCCCAUUGCUCUGACGUCCCGUGUCUGAGAGGCGGGAACACGCCAGNNNNNNNNNNNNNNNNNNNNNNNNNGGAACAAGCACGGGCCCUGAGUCAGGCCUCCCCGGUCCCAGCCCCAGCCCCGGCCCCAAGGGACCUCAGAGUCACCCAACCUGGAGGAGCCUCGGUUUCCACAUCUGUGCACUGGGGAUGAUAGUAACAGUUAGCCCACAGGAGCUGUAAGGAAACAAGACACACCCCUGGCACAGAGCAGCUGAUCAAUCAAGCUGCCUCUCUCACCCUGUCUGAAGGUUCACAUGAGAAUGUGAGCUCCCUGCCGCUAGGCGGCAAGCCACUGCUCAGGGGCAGACCUGCAGUGAAGGAGGGCAGCUGACAUCUGUAGUAGAGGAUGCGUCCCCAUGCGCCAGAGCCAGCAUCCUCGUGCGCCCAGCAGAGCAGGCUCCAGGGGACAGUUGGCUCUGUGAACCCAGGACAAAGCUGGCCCCAACCUCACACACUAACAGCGACCCACGGCAGAGUCCCGUUUACGCCAAGGGUGGCACAUUCAGAGGAUGCCCUUGAAUCCCAUGGAGAUUCAUCACCAGUCGCAGGGCCGAUGGAGCACUGAAUGACAUGGGGAGAAGAGGCAGAGACGGCCGGGUGGAACCCUGGGGUGGAUGACACCUGUGUGCACACGUGGUCCUGGCCUCAGCAUGGGGGCGCAUCGGGCAGCUGAGAGCGUCCUGGAGCCCUCUGGGUUCCUGCCCACAAGGAUGAGAACCAGGAACGGGACAACCUUCCAAACUGGAGUGAGCAGGUGUGAGGUCACAGAAGCAGCCUCACACCUGUUGACUCACGGCCCAGGGACUGUCCCAGCAGGACUCCAGAGCCGGGACGAGGCUUUCCACGUGCGCAUGCUUAGGCCACGGAGGCCUCAGCUUGUGCGGCGCCAGACGCAGACCUGGAGAGGAGGACUCUGGAGCAGGAGUUUAUCUGGGUGGUGGAGGCAGGGGGGUUGGGAAGUGAGAGAGGGAAGAGGCGGGGGCUAAUAAUGGCUCCUAUGGGCUGCCCAGCACUGUGGGGCCCCACUCUGGACACCCACCACCGUGGGCAACAGGAGCUCGGCCCACCAGGGAGCCCUGGCAGCCGGGGCAGAGCAGGCCGCUCAGGGCUCUCCCACUCAAGGGGUGAGGCAGCUGGGGUACCGGCUGAAGGUGCUCCUGGGGGACAGCAGUUUCCACAUUUGAGCCUGUCACCCAGGGGGCCAAGGAGUCUCCAGCGGUAAGGAAAGUCCCAGCCAGACAGAGCUGGCAGCUGGAAGCCAGGACAGUAUGCACUGUGGAAGCUAGGGUGAGGCGCUCUGAGAGCCAGUGCUCCCGGGACCAAGAGAGAGCCACUCGCUCUCCUCCUUGUAACACAGUGGAUAGCUGAGCCUUCCCGUGGCCUCGAGAAGGUCAAGGGUGCAAGUGAUCAUUUCUGUCACUCUUAUUUCACACCUCUGGUGGACCCUGCAGGCUGACUCAUUCCACCAGUGUGCCAGCCCCUCCUUCUGUGCUUGGCCCCAUGGGAGUCUCUGGAAAAACUGCCAUCGACAUCUCCGUGACUCCCUUGCAGCCAGGGAUCUGCCAGUGGCCUCAGCUCCUCUGGACAGAUGCCUGCCCGAGAUUUAAAAGGUGGAAGUGAGCCGCCCAAGGUGGUGGAGGAUGGGGCUCCUGGCUGGCAGGGAACAGGGG